Molecule: long non-coding RNA, 454 nt
Organism: Hibiscus syriacus
Lineage: Eukaryota; Viridiplantae; Streptophyta; Magnoliopsida; Malvales; Malvaceae
Exons: 2
Source: RefSeq, a predicted model, not a curated record
CUAUUUGCAGGAGUGAAUUAUUAAUGAUCAAAAUCUGUCCGGUUGCGGUAAGCUUGUGGGCUGCUGCUGUUAUUGGAAGCUGGUGCAAUUUUUGACUGUUUUGUACAUUUGUUUUGUUGCAGCCCAUACAUUACCAGUCCUGUAUGAGAGACAUGACGAGCAAAUAGAUGGCUUUGUUUACAAUAUGUUUGAAAAGCUUCAAAAUCACUAUAAAAAGUUGGAUUCUGGUGUUCUGAGCAAGAUCCCCAAGGGACAGUUCAAGCUUAAGAAGCAUGACUAGGUGUAUUUGGUUACUCUCAUUACAUCUAUAGAGUUCAUGUAGCAUACCCUCUUACAGUUGGGAUCUGAUAUAUAUUCUCAAGCACUUGAAUAACUGAUGUUAUAUUUUUGUGACAUUAUCCGUUUGGAUAUUGGAAAUAUCUUUGCCAAGCUCAUCUGCUUGGUUUAUUGAUGA